Long non-coding RNA from Daucus carota subsp. sativus, 6583 nucleotides. RefSeq lists it as uncharacterized. Lineage: Eukaryota; Viridiplantae; Streptophyta; Magnoliopsida; Apiales; Apiaceae. The record is from RefSeq and is a predicted model, not a curated record. The transcript has 4 exons.
GGAGCUGAUUCGAACCUGGUUCCUAACCUUGGCUUUCAGAAGCAAUGUUCCACGCCCACACUGAAGCACCCGGUUCAUGCUCGACUCCUUCAGUCUUCCACGCCCACACUGAAGCACUGAUUCCACGAUGAUUAAGAGAAGUGAAUUUAUCUGAUUAACAAGUUUAUGUAUCUAGCUAUCUGAUUGUUUUAGAUCUGUUAAUUCUUCAUUUUGUGUGCUUUUUCUGUUUAUAUGUUCUGUUGUCGUCCCUAGAUGUUUGGAUUUUUGUUGUUUUUUUGGGUGAAUUAGGGUUUCGUGUGAUAUGAAUGUGUUGUUUUUGUUCAUACGUUUGGUUGAUUUGUGCUUGUGCUUUAUUCGUGUUCUAAAUGUUAAUUUGAGAACCAAAUGAAUUAAGAAUUGAAAACCUUUAGGUUUGUAUAGUUGUAACUGGUGAUUGGGAUGCAAUUCAGUAUUGAUAUGUAUUUGAAACGAAUUACUGAUAUGCAUCUGAGCAAAGAGUCGGGAGUGGUUGAUAUAAAUUUGUGUUCAACCUUUUCAGGUGAUCAGUAACAAGAAGUUACCCAAAUGAGGAUUCAUUAGACAAAUCCAUGGAGAGUGAUAGAAGAAUAUGUGGCAGAUUGAUUUGUUCUGUAGCCAAAGAAUCUCCACAGCAAGUCGAAGAAACGACCAUGGACAUGCGAAAGUAAUUUUUCUGAAAGACUACAAGUCACCUGAUUAUUGUUUUGGCACUGUAACAUACCUUAGCUCCUCAUCUGCAAUAUCUAAACUGCUUGAACAUACAAUUUGUGAUUAGCUUCCAUAUUCGAUAAAUGAAAUUACUUGAGUUGAUGCAUAUGCAUGCCAGUUUAUGCUCAAGUGGAUCUUAAAUUUACACUAGGUGAGGAACAAACAGUUGGCUGCUCCAACCACAGUGUUUAUUCGAGAUUCGAAGGUAUCACCAACAACUAAUUCUUCUUCAGUAUUUGGAUAUUCUCAGAUUAUCUGGCUUGUCACAAUCAAGAGUUUGCUAUAACGAGUAAGUAUUAAUACUGAGAUAUGCCAAUCGAAGAACACGACAUUAGAUGUUUGUUACUUUAUUCCCUCUCCUCAAGUCUUUGCAUAUGCUUUCUAUAUAUGAAUCUUCUUCUGUUAUUAUGUUUUUUGUCUUUUGACAAUAUUAGUUCUGAAUAUUUGAUGCAGGGUCUUUACCGGUCACUAGAAAUUUCUUCACACAAUGUGAAACAGCGGAUUUUUGGAAAAUCCUAAUUGUCGUAGUAUAUAUGAUGUAAAAACUUUUCAAUAUCAUGAGCCUGAUCAAGUGCCCCUAAUUUCAAUGAUCCAGUGAUACACUCUGGUAUCUCUGCUCCUUAUUUUAUCCGGCCUUUAAUAUAGGAAUUUCAUUGGGUUACUGAUUCUGCAAAUAUUGAAGAUAGACUUUCCAAAGCAAUAGUGUCAUUUGACAUUGAAGAUGAACAAUUCAAUUCUUAUUUACAUGGAUGGAUUCUCCUAAAAUUCCUCUUGAAGAGCGAGUGAUUAUCGAUACAUUAAAUGACUCACUUUCAUUGGUUGUUCCUCGCAAAAGUUUUCUAAACUCAAGCUUUUAUAUAUGGGUGAUGGAUGACUACGGGAAAUAGGUAUCUUGGACUAGGCAGUCCAUCACCCAUAUAUAAAAGCUUGAGUUUGGAAAACUUGUGUGAGGAAUAAUCAGUGAAAGUGAGUCAUUUAAUGUAUCCAUAAUCACGGGCUCUUCAAGAGGAAUUUUAAAAAGAUCUAGCCAUGAAAGAAAUUUGAAUUGUUCAUCUUCAAUGUCAAAUGACACUACUGCUUUGGAAAGUCUAUCUUCAAUAAUGCCUAUUUUAAAGGUCGGAUGAAAUAAGGAGCAGAGAUACCAAAAAGUAUCACUGGAUCAUUGAAAUGAGGGGCACUUGAUCACGCUCAUGACAUGGAAGAGUUGUUACAUCAUCAUGUGCACUACGACAGUUAGGAUAUUGGACAAAUGAUCUUCCUAUAGUGACAACAUAUGAGAGCGAUUUUUUUUAUGACCCUAAAAUCCAAGAACAGAAGAACACUCCAGUUUUUUGUAUUUCACAACAUUCUGCAUUUAUGUUGAAACUUUGGAAACAGUCACCUGGGAUAUUGAAUAUGCAGGAAGGGCUGUUCAGUGAUGUAAUUCCCCACCCUUGCAUAGUAUAUCUAUUAACACUGCAUGACCUAAUAUCUGAAGCAUUGUUGAAGAAUAAUAAAUUAUAACAUCCGGUUAAAAGUAUGAAAGGAAAUAUCUCCCUAAUAGUUUUAAAAUGUUACCCGCAGUUUAACACUAACUAAUGUUGCUUUUGUGAGCUUUGUCUACUUUAGUUUGUAGCGCACACACUAUUCAGUUAAAGCAAUGUGGCUUUCCGGAGCUUAAUUUGCUCUAAUUUGCUUUGUAGCACACACUAUUCAGUAAAACCUAAUGUGGCUUUUGGGAGGUUUUGCUCUCUUUUGUAUAGUAGGGCGCACAUCCUGUUGAGUAAUUUGAUGCAGGGUCUUUACCAGUCAUUAGGAAAUUUCUGCACACAAUGUGAAGCAGCAGAUUUUCGGAAUAUCCUAAUUGUUGUAGUGUAUAUGAUGUAACAACUCUUCAUGAAUGUCAUGAGCCUGAUCAAGUGCCCCUCAUUUCAAUGAUCCAGUGAUACACUUUGGUAUCUCUGCUUCUUAUUUUAUCUGGCCUUUAACAUAGGCAUUUCAUUGGGUUACUGAUUCUGCAGAUAUUGAUAUAGACUUUCCAAAGCAAUAGUGUCAUUUGACAUUGGAGAUGAACAAUUCAAACUUUUUACAUGGAUGGAUCCUCUUAAAAUUCCUCUUGAAGAGUGAGUGAUUAUCGAUACAUUGAACGACUUACUUUCAUUGGUUGUUCCUCACAAAAGUUUUCUAAACUCAAGCUUUUAUAUAUGGGUGAUGGAUCCUAUUUCCUGUAGUCAUCCAUCACCCAUAUAUAAAAGCUUGAGUUUAGAAAACUUGUGUGAGGAACAAUCAGUGCAAGUGAGUCAUUUAAUGUAUCGAUAAUAACUGGCUCUUCAAGAGGAAUUUUAAAAGGAUCUAGCCAUGAAAAAAUUUUGAAUUGUUCAUCUUCAAUGUCAAAUGACACUACUGCUUUGGAAAGUCUAUCUUCAAUACCUGCAGAAUCAGUAACCCAAUGAAAUGCCUAUUUUAAAGGUCAGAUGAAAUAAGGAGCAGAGAUACCAAAGAGUAUCACUGGAUCAUUGAAAUGAGGGUCACUUGUGUUAGGUAUCAGCCCAUUACAAGGUAACAUGGACUUUGGUGAUCCAAAAUAUAUAUAAGGAUAAUAAUUGUAUGUUUAGACAAUUAUUAUAAGAUAUGUCUUGGUCACAAAGAUAGAAGACCUAGUUGGAAUUGGAUUCUGAUUUGAGUUGAAGAUUUAAGAAUUGGAUUUCAAUUGCAGUUAGGUAUUUCAGAUUUAGAGUUAGAUUCUGAUUUGUCUAGUUUGAGAUGGCUAUAUAUACAUAGUCAUAUUGUGUUUGAUAGGUGUGCUCAAGAUGUAGACUUAGGUAUCGCUCGAGGGCGGAUACUUGGGUAGUAGGCUUGAGUAUCCAAGUUUAGUUUGAUUGUAUUAUUGAUAAUGGUUUUGAUUAAUAAUACAAGUUGGGACGUGGAUUUUCCACGUCAAAUAUAUUGUUGUGUGUCCGCUUUGUAUUAGAAGAUUGAAUCUCGUAUAUUAUCUCUAACAAGUGGUAUCAAGAGCCGAGGUUAGGAUCGUGAUUGAUGGGGUUGAGGAUAAAUUCGGGAUUCAAUCGAGAAUGCAGAGUAUGGUGAAUUUUGUUAGCAGGAAUAGGCAAAGUUACGUGCGGUAUGAUGGUUGACUUGCACCGUGGAUCAAUCAUGAUGGACUCAAUAUGGAAGAAGAUUAGAUGGUUCUUCUAGAUCGAGGCCGGAGGAUUGUGAAAGCAAGGAUCGGGUGACUCAUGGAUGGAAGAGCACUCGGGGUUGAUGCACGUGAUUUUGUAGAUGGAUAAAAUUUGGAAGAACGAGACAUGGAGAUUCUUGUUCGAGGGGAGGCAUUGGCGGAUGGACGUCGAUGUCUUGAUCGUGAUUGUUGAUUGUAUUGGGCUGAAGGGGAGGAUUGUUAGGUAUCAGCCCAUUACAAGGUAACAUGGACUUUGGUGAUCCAAAAUAUAUAAGGAUAAUAAUUAUAUGUUUAGACAAUUAUUAUAAGAUAUGUCUUGGUCACAAAGAUAGAAGACCUAGUUGGAAUUGGAUUCUGAUUUGAGUUGAAGAUUCAGAAUUGGAUUUCAAUUGCAGUUAGGUAUUUCAGAGUUAGAGUUAGAUUCUGAUUUGUCUAAUUUGAGAUUGCUAUAUAUACAUAGUCAUAUUGUGUUUGAUAGGUGUGCUCAAGAUGUAGACUUAGGUAUCGCUCGAGGGCGGAUACUUGGUUAGUAGGCUUGAGUAUCCAAGUUUAGUUUGAUUGUAUUAUUGAUAAUGGUUUUGAUUAAUAAUACAAGUUGGGACGUGGAUUUUCCACGUCAAAUAUAUUGUUGUGUGUCCGCUUUGUAUUAGAAGAUUGAAUCUCGUAUAUUAUCUCUAACAACUUGAUCAGGCUCAUGACAUGGAAGAGUUGUUACAUCAUGUGCACUACGACAAUUAGGAUAUUGGACAAAUGAUCUUUCUAUAAUGACAACAUAUGAGAGCGAUUUUUUUUUAUGACCCUAAAAUCCAAAAACGGAAGAACACUCCAGGUUUUGGUAUUUCACUACAUUCUGCCAUUAUGUCGAAACUUUGGAAACAUUCACCUAGGAUAUUGAAUAUGCACAAAGGGCUGUUCAGUGAUGUAAUUCCCUACCCUUGCUUAGUAUAUCUAUUAACACUGCAUGAUAUAAUAUCUGAAGCAUUGUUGAAGAAUAAUAAAUUAUAACAUCUGGUUAAAAAUUUGAAAGGAAAUAUAUCUCUGUAAUAGUUUUGAAAUGUUACGGAAAGUUUAACACUAACUAAUGUUGCUUUUGUGAGCUUUGUCUACUUUAAAUUGUAGCGCACACACUGUUCAGUUAAAGCAAUGUGGCUUUCGGGAGCUUAAUUUGCUCUAAUUUGCUUUGUAGAGCAUACAAUAUUCAGUAAAACCUAAUGUGGCUUUUGGGAGGUUUGCUCUCUCUUUUGUAUUGUAGGGCACACAUCCUGUUGAGUAAAAACUAAUGUAACAUGUGAUGGGAGCACAACAAUUUUUUGAAGUUGAUUAUUAUUAGGUACAUUUUCUAUCAGUAACCACCACAACAAUAAUGUCUGCGCGCGCGCGCACACACACACAUAUAUAUAUUCGAAAUGACAUGUCUUGUCUUGACUUAUGUUUUUUUGGAAGUAAUCUAUAUACAUAUAUAGUUGGCCAUGUAUUUUUCAGUCAUGAAAUUGAUACUAAAUUUUUUGAUCUUUUUAUCUUAAAAAUAUUUCUUUCCUUCUCUUUUAGUUUUCAAAUACUUUUAUUCACAUGUGUAUUGUUGAUGUGAUUUAUCUCUCUUGUAAUACUACCCAUUUACAGUUUGUAAAACUAGUUAUUACUAUUCUAUACUUCUACUACAAUCGGACCAUGGAAAAAAACUUUUCCCGGCCACCUGCUGCAACUUCAGUUAUGUUCUAUCCUGAGGAAAAUAAUAUCAUAUCGUCUGCAGGGAGGAUGGCUCUAUACUAAUCUAUGGUGUUCAGAAAGAUAUGGUCUUUAUCUAUAUAUACUGAUAUCUAAGUGUUGUACAUUAAAAAUGAAUUAUCAUUUACCGAUUAAGUUCUUAUUAUCUAUUUGGCUUAUAUAGAUGAUAUUGCCGAGAUAAUGCUCAUCAGAAGAGAGUGACUGGCCUUGCCUAUUCUAGUGCAUUAAAUAUCCUUUUAUCGUCUGGAUAAGAUGCUCAGGUACAUUUUUAAAGUGGAAGGCUAAUAGAAGAUAUCAGAUGCAUGGGCACAUUUCUGUCAAGUGUCACCAGGACCAAAGACAUUUGUUGGUUGUACAUGAAAGUUGUAUAGCCACUCCUGAUCGGGACCUAAUCUCGAGCCCUGCAAGCAGUAGAUUCCCGGGGAAUUGAUCAGUGAUGCUGCAUAUAUAUUCCUGUGAUGGCCAGUCCAUAUAUGCCUGCUUUCUUAACAGGCACAUUGUUUUCUUGGACUCGGCAUCUUUGACCAUAAUUUUUUUUUAUCAAUCCGAGUGCAUAUUUUACCUUCUAAGUAAAGCCGGGUGAUGUAUGCUUCUACUCUUGCGGCUAAUCCUACAAAUUAAAACCCAAUCAGUUUGCUCUCGGGCUUAGUGAUGGUGGCGUACUAGUUAUAGAACUUGAGGAAGAGGAUAUUGGGGUUGGCAUUGUAGCACGCCUUAGCUUGAGACCAGCAACAACUGAGAACUUGAUAUGAGCUUUUGUGAUAAUCAAAGCCCAGUGUCUCUUGAAAUCUAUAUGUUUUAAAACAUACAUCUGGGGAUUGGAUUAGUGCAAGAGUUGUGAAGUUUUUUUUUUUGCUUGACUAUGUUAAGUGAUAAAUGUUCAAUUCAAAUAUACACCUAGUGCAGAAUUUGAAAUGAGAAUUGUCAACAGAGUAUGAAAAUGAGAAAAGAAAGCCAAUAUUUUGGCAUAUACAA